GCGCCGACAGCGGACCCAAGAUGGCGACCGAGUUGGAGUACGAGUCUGUGCUGUGUGUGAAGCCAGACGUCAGCGUCUACCGGAUUCCGCCCCGGGCCUCCAACCGCGGUUACAGGGCCUCUGACUGGAAAUUAGACCAGCCUGAUUGGACUGGUCGCCUCCGAAUCACUUCAAAAGGGAAGACUGCCUAUAUCAAACUCGAGGAUAAAGUUUCAGGGGAGCUCUUUGCUCAGGCACCAGUAGAACAAUAUCCUGGUAUUGCUGUGGAGACGGUGACAGAUUCUAGCCGCUACUUUGUAAUCCGGAUCCAGGAUGGUACUGGUUUGUUCAGGUAACUUGCAUUGGCCAACAGAAUCAGAGCAAAUACAACGUACACCUUAUCUGAAUAAAGGAUGCUACUACAUGGUUCAGCUUACAAGGAGCUAUUCUGUGAUCUCAGCUUCCAGAAUGAGAAAACACUUGGAGAGGGGCCAAGCAGAGUUGCAGUCAACUCCAAGGUGGCCCUAAGCACAAGUGUAAUGUAAGUGAGAAAUACAUGUUUGUUGUUGUAAGCCACUUGGAUUUUGGGGUUGUUGGUGAUACGGUGUAAUCCAGUUAUAAUGUGACUUAUUCCAGGGAGAGAGCUAUAGUUUUAGGAAUAUGGUUUGCUUUCUAAUUAUGAGCUUAGAUUGUAAAGACUCUGAGAAUCAAUGAUUGUUAUUUCAGGGAAUAUGUGUGCAUGUAUACCUGUCUACGUGCAUGUGCUGGUUAGGCCCAAUCAUUAAUUUGUGGAGAACUUAAAAUUCCCUUAUCCUUCCCUUAUGCUUUGUCAUUCCCCUUUCCCUUUUCUUACUAAAUAAUUUGAUUCUAAAUAAAGCAGUAGCAAGAUAGGUGUCUAUGGUGAGGUGGCUGGGAGAGCAGCAGUGGCCUGGCACAGGGGGAGAGCUUUAGCAGGGUGAGAAGGGUGACUAUGCAGGGUAUUGGCUUGACAGUGGUUCUGGAGCCCAAGCAGAGUGAGAAGAACAUCCCUUAGGGGUGGGAAAGUGUCCUGGCAUGGGGAACCAGAGCGAGGAGAUGUCCACUCCUGGCAAUGGCCCAGUGCAGGGUGUCAGAGGAUAAGAUUGAGGAGGGUGUCCAUAGUAGGGGUAGCCUGAUGUGAGAGGUCAGAGUCUGAGAGGUAAAGAAGGCAUCUAUGUGGUGGGAUAGUCAGGUGCAGUGAGUUGGAGUGCA
Homo sapiens (human) is the source of this 1209-nucleotide long non-coding RNA. The record is from Ensembl. NCBI's taxonomy places the organism in Eukaryota, Metazoa, Chordata, Mammalia, Primates, Hominidae.